AGGCGUUUUGCACGGCUUGUUGAGAAUUGAAUAAUUUUCCUUAUAAGAAGUGGUCCAAAGCCUGGAAGAAGUGGUAGUAAGUUGGUGCAAGGGCUGGAACUUCGGUAGUUUCUUGUCAGCCACCGCAGCUGGUCCCCGAGUACCAAGUACUGCCGAAGCCCCUACUCCAGGGCCCCGGGUGCCUGAAGCCUUUACCUUCCCAUUUGCGUGAGGAGCUGGGCGGGGCAGCCCUGACACUGGUCUCCUUUCUGCAGUAGGACCAGCAAGAAGUGACUGUUGUGACUCUGAAGUCACUGAGACUUUAGGAUCGUUUGUUACCACGGCACAACCUAGUGAAAACUCACAAAUACUAAGUAAGAAUGGCCCUUAACCCUGUCUUUCAUAGGUAAGGAAUAAAGGAAUGUCCCUUUGUCUCAC
Microcebus murinus (gray mouse lemur) is the source of this 417-nucleotide long non-coding RNA. RefSeq lists it as uncharacterized. Lineage: Eukaryota; Metazoa; Chordata; Mammalia; Primates; Cheirogaleidae. The record is from RefSeq and is a predicted model, not a curated record.